AAUAAAGUGCCUGAUAAAAAGGGUUAUUUUGAUAGAAUAUAUAAUGUGAUUACUAUCACCUUUAUUA
Molecule: transfer RNA, 67 nt
Filed under: Epiophlebia superstes
Lineage: Eukaryota; Metazoa; Arthropoda; Insecta; Odonata; Epiophlebiidae
Description: tRNA-Ile
Source: RNAcentral